UGGGGAAUAUUGGACAAUGGGGGGAACCCUGAUCCAGCCAUGCCGCGUGUGUGAAGAAGGCCUUAUGGUUGUAAAGCACUUUAAGCGAGGAGGAGGGUACUGGUAUUAAUACUACCAGCUACUGGACGUUACUCGCAGAAUAAGCACCGGCUAACUCUGUGCCAGCAGCCGCGGUAAUACAGAGGGUGCGAGCGUUAAUCGGAUUUACUGGGCGUAAAGCGUGCGUAGGCGGCUAAUUGAGUCGGAUGUGAAAUCCCCGAGCUUAACUUGGGAAUUGCAUUCGAUACUGGUUAGCUAGAGUGUGGGAGAGGAUGGUAGAAUUCCAGGUGUAGCGGUGAAAUGCGUAGAGAUCUGGAGGAAUACCGAUGGCGAAGGCAGCCAUCUGGCCUAACACUGACGCUGAGGUACGUAAGCAUGGGGAGCAAACAGG
Molecule: ribosomal RNA, 430 nt
Filed under: Pseudomonadota bacterium
Lineage: Bacteria; Pseudomonadati; Pseudomonadota
Description: Proteobacteria bacterium partial 16S ribosomal RNA
Rfam family: Bacterial small subunit ribosomal RNA
Source: RNAcentral